Molecule: transfer RNA, 87 nt
Filed under: Daucus carota subsp. sativus
Lineage: Eukaryota; Viridiplantae; Streptophyta; Magnoliopsida; Apiales; Apiaceae
Rfam family: tRNA (bases 6-80)
About the family: Transfer RNA (tRNA) molecules are approximately 80 nucleotides in length. Their secondary structure includes four short double-helical elements and three loops (D, anti-codon, and T loops).
Source: Rfam by way of RNAcentral
GCCAAGUGGAUCAGUGGAUUUAAAAAAAAAAAGUGGAUCAGUGGAUUGUGAAUCCACCACACGCGAGUUCAAUUCUCGUCGUUCGCU